This 493-nucleotide ribosomal RNA is filed under the name uncultured bacterium. RNAcentral describes it as "bacterial SSU rRNA". It matches the Rfam family "Bacterial small subunit ribosomal RNA", at positions 15 to 518 of the family's 1533-position model. The record is from RNAcentral.
GAUCAUGGCUCAGAACGAACGCUGGUGGCGUGUCUUAUACAUGCAAGUCGAGCGAGGCAGCAAUGCCGAGCGGCGAACGGGUGAGUAACGCGUAAGCAAUCUGCCCCAUAUCAGGAAAUACCCGUGCCAACGCGCGGUUAAUGUCCAGGAGAGUGGCCCCCUGCAUGGAGGGUUGACUAGAGAUUUAUCGGUAUGGGAUGAGCUUGCGUCCGAUUAGCUAGUUGGCGGGGCAACGGCCCACCAAGGCGACGAUCGGUAGCCGGCCUGAGAGGGUGAUCGGCCACAUUGGGACUGAGAUACGGCCCAGACUCCUACGGGAGGCAGCAGUAGGGAAUAUUGCACAAUGGGGGAAACCCUGAUGCAGCAACGCCAACGUGUGGGAAGGAGCAUUUCGGUGUGUAAACCACUGUCAUUGAGGGAAUAAGGCCCGCCCUCGGACGGGAUUGAAUGUACCUUGAGAGGAAGCACCGGCAAACUUCGUGCCAGCCGCGGC